UUAGUGGCGGACGGGUAGAGUAACGCGUGGAGAACCUGCCUUUAGUCUGGGGGAGUAACAGUUAGAAAUGACUGCUAAUACCGCAUAAGCGCACACUGGGGCAUCCCAGAGUGUGAAAAACUCCGGUGGAUAGAGAUGGCUCCGCGUCAGAUUAGCCAGUUGGCGGGGUAACGGCCCACCCAAAGCGACGAUCUGUAGCCGGCCUGAGAGGGCGAUCGGCCACAUUGGGACUGAGACACGGCCCAAACUCCUACGGGAGGCAGCAGUGGGGAAUAUUGCACAAUGGGGGAAACCCUGAUGCAGCGACGCCGCGUGAGUGAUGAAGUAUUUCGGUAUGUAAAGCUCUAUCAGCAGGGAAGAAAAUGACGGUACCUGACUAAGAAGCCCCGGCUAAAUACGUGCC
Molecule: ribosomal RNA, 403 nt
Filed under: uncultured bacterium
Lineage: Bacteria
Description: bacterial SSU rRNA
Rfam family: Bacterial small subunit ribosomal RNA
Source: RNAcentral